GGCUAGGUAGCUCAAUCGGUAGAGCAGAGGACUGAAAAUCCUCGUGCUGGUGGUUCGAUUCCAUCCCUAGCCACGA
RNAcentral lists this transfer RNA (76 nucleotides) under Caulobacteraceae bacterium. RNAcentral describes it as "tRNA-Phe". It matches the Rfam family "tRNA". From Rfam's summary of the family: Transfer RNA (tRNA) molecules are approximately 80 nucleotides in length. The record is from RNAcentral. Lineage: Bacteria; Pseudomonadati; Pseudomonadota; Alphaproteobacteria; Caulobacterales; Caulobacteraceae.